UACGGAGGGUGCAAGCGUUGUCCGGAUUUAUUGGGUUUAAAGGGUGCGUAGGCGGCCCUGUAAGUCAGUGGUGAAAUACUGCAGCUUAACUGUAGCAUUGCCAUUGAUACUGUAGGGCUUGAGUACAGAUGAGGUAGGCGGAAUUGAUGGUGUAGCGGUGAAAUGCAUAGAUACCAUCAAGAACACCGAUUGCGAAGGCAGCUUACUAAGCUGUAACUACGCUGAGGCACGAAAGCGUGGGGAUCGAACAGG
Molecule: ribosomal RNA, 252 nt
Filed under: uncultured bacterium
Lineage: Bacteria
Description: partial 16S ribosomal RNA
Rfam family: Bacterial small subunit ribosomal RNA
Source: RNAcentral